This 732-nucleotide unclassified non-coding RNA is filed under the name Zea mays. RNAcentral describes it as "misc RNA Zm00001eb346290". The record is from RNAcentral. Lineage: Eukaryota; Viridiplantae; Streptophyta; Magnoliopsida; Poales; Poaceae.
UUCUUCUGUCUUCAGGGAUAGCUCUGUAGAGACAACGUACAUGUGUUGUACAAAACUGAGAAAGAUGAUGCUUCAAGUUUCAUGUAAUCAUGAAUUUCGAACACCUAGGAACAGAAAAAAUUGUCAAGUGGCCAAUCAAAGCGACAAUUCAAUCCUCACACAAGCUCCACCUCAACCUCAAGUUAUAUUUCAAACUCUAAUCUAUAAACAGUACACUCUAUACAGUGUUUCACACUAUCAUAUGCACGGCCUACGAACUAGAACAAUGCCAUGUUGCCGAACAAACAUAAAGCAAGCAAAAAAUGAGCUUAAUGAUGACUAAUCAUAACCAAUAACUUUAUCGAUGCCAUGUAGACUAUGGUCGAUUAGAUGAUUUAAAAACAUUAAGCCGUGAAAAGGUUUUUGGCUAAGCUAAAUUGGUUAGGUAGUUUAACUAGUCCUUCUCAGGUCCUGAGUUCAAAAUCUUAGUGGGAACGAAUUUCAGGAUGAGACCGAUCCUAGUGUAGAGACUAAGACGGCUUAAAACACAAGUAAAAAUCUAACAUAUAUGUGUGCCUCACACGGUAGGAGAAAGCAUAUCAUGGAGGUGGUCUUUUCACUCCCGACCGAGUUUUUUUAAAAAAAAAAAGCAUUGAUACCAUGACAUUGUAACAAAUGGAUCAAGUCAAGUAAUAAAUCAAUGAAUUAGGAAAGGUGAUAGCUACUAACGUGAAAGCCUCGGCUAUGUUCUUU